Molecule: ribosomal RNA, 506 nt
Filed under: uncultured bacterium
Lineage: Bacteria
Description: partial 16S ribosomal RNA
Rfam family: Bacterial small subunit ribosomal RNA
Source: RNAcentral
AGUGAACGCUGGCGGUAGGCCUAACUCAUGCAAGUCGAACGGCAGCACAGGAGAGCUUGCUCUCUGGGUGGCGAGUGGCGGACGGGUGAGGAAUACAUCGGAAUCUACUCUGUCGUGGGGGAUAACGUAGGGAAACUUACGCUAAUACCGCAUACGACCUACGGGUGAAAGCAGGGGACCUUCGGGCCUUGCGCGAUUGAAUGAGCCGAUGUCGGAUUAGCUAGUUGGCGGGGUAAAGGCCCACCAAGGCGACGAUCCGUAGCUGGUCUGAGAGGAUGAUCAGCCACACUGGAACUGAGACACGGUCCAGACUCCUACGGGAGGCAGCAGUGGGGAAUAUUGGACAAUGGGCGUAAGCCUGAUCCAGCCAUACCGCGUGGGUGAAGAAGGCCUUCGGGUUGUAAAGCCCUUUUGUUGGGAAAGAAAUCCAGCUGGCUAAUACCCGGUUGGGAUGACGGUACCCAAAGAAUAAGCACCGGCUAACUUCGUGCCAGCCGCCGCCGUAA